GCCAGGAAGAGCAAGAAUUGAGGGCCUUAGAGUAGUGGGAAUGGGAACAUGCAGGAAAACCCAAAUUUAGUUUGGUGUUGGAGGUGAUAACUUGGUUUGGUAUUUCCCGAUGCCUCUCAUUCCUAUUGUUCUAAAGUACUCCUUCCUCUUAAUUUUU
This is a non-coding RNA of Hordeum vulgare subsp. vulgare (domesticated barley), 157 nucleotides long. Lineage: Eukaryota; Viridiplantae; Streptophyta; Magnoliopsida; Poales; Poaceae. The record is from Rfam.